GUCCACGCCCUAAACGAUGUACACUAGUUGUUGUGAGACUUGAUCUUGCAGUAAUGCAGUUAACACAUUAAGUGUACCGCCUGGGGAGUACGGUCGCAAGAUUAAAACUCAAAGGAAUAGACGGGGACCCGCACAAGCGGUGGAGCAUGUGGUUUAAUUCGACGAUACACGAAGAACCUUACCUGGACUUGACAUAGUAAGAACUUUCUAGAGAUAGAUUGGUGUCUGCUUGCAGAAACUUAUAUACAGGUGCUGCACGGCU
Molecule: ribosomal RNA, 262 nt
Filed under: uncultured bacterium
Lineage: Bacteria
Description: partial 16S ribosomal RNA
Rfam family: Bacterial small subunit ribosomal RNA
Source: RNAcentral